UGGGGAAUAUUGCACAAUGGGCGCAAGCCUGAUGCAGCCAUGCCGCGUGUAUGAAGAAGGCCUUCGGGUUGUAAAGUACUUUCAGUCGGGAGGAAGGUGUCAAGGUUAAUAACCUUGGCAAUUGACGUUACCGACAGAAGAAGCACCGGCUAACUCCGUGCCAGCAGCCGCGGUAAUACGGAGGGUGCAAGCGUUAAUCGGAAUUACUGGGCGUAAAGCGCACGCAGGCGGUUGAUUGAGUCAGAUGUGAAAUCCCCGGGCUUAACCCGGGAAUUGCAUCUGAUACUGGUCAGCUAGAGUCUUGUAGAGGGGGGUAGAAUUCCAUGUGUAGCGGUGAAAUGCGUAGAGAUGUGGAGGAAUACCGGUGGCGAAGGCGGCCCCCUGGACAAAGACUGACGCUCAGGUGUGAAAGCGUGGGGAGCAAACAGG
Molecule: ribosomal RNA, 429 nt
Filed under: Chloroflexota bacterium
Lineage: Bacteria; Bacillati; Chloroflexota
Description: Chloroflexi bacterium partial 16S ribosomal RNA
Rfam family: Bacterial small subunit ribosomal RNA
Source: RNAcentral